Molecule: ribosomal RNA, 470 nt
Filed under: uncultured bacterium
Lineage: Bacteria
Description: bacterial SSU rRNA
Rfam family: Bacterial small subunit ribosomal RNA
Source: RNAcentral
GACGAACGACGGGUCGGGCGGGUCGUACGACACAUGCAAGUCGAGCGAGUGGAUCUCCUUCGGGAGUGAAGCUAGCGGCGGACGGGUGAGUAACACGUGGGCAACCUGCCUCAUAGAGGGGAAUAGCCUUUCGAAAGGAAGAUUAAUACCGCAUAAGAUUGUAGCUUCGCAUGAAGUAGCAAUUAAAGGAGCAAUCCGCUAUGAGAUGGGCCCGCGGCGCAUUAGCUAGUUGGUGAGGUAACGGCUCACCAAGGCGACGAUGCGUAGCCGACCUGAGAGGGUGAUCGGCCACAUUGGGACUGAGACACGGCCCAGACUCCUACGGGAGGCAGCAGUGGGGAAUAUUGCACAAUGGGGGAAACCCUGAUGCAGCAACGCCGCGUGAGUGAUGACGGCCUUCGGGUUGUAAAGCUCUGUCUUCAGGGACGAUAAUGACGGUACCUGAGGAGGAAGCCACGGCUAACUACGUG